Molecule: transfer RNA, 73 nt
Organism: Ovis aries (sheep)
Lineage: Eukaryota; Metazoa; Chordata; Mammalia; Artiodactyla; Bovidae
Rfam family: tRNA
About the family: Transfer RNA (tRNA) molecules are approximately 80 nucleotides in length. Their secondary structure includes four short double-helical elements and three loops (D, anti-codon, and T loops).
Source: Rfam
UCUCUGGUGGUCCAGUGGCUAAGACUCUGCACUCCCAAUGCAGGCGACCCGGGUUCAAAUCCUGGUCAAGGAA